UGGAGGCCGGCAGCUGUAGCUCAGAUUAGACCCCUAGCCUAGGGCAAGUGCAGCCCUAAAAAGAAAAAAGACAAAAAAAAAAAAAAAAAGGAGGGGUAUUUUAAAAAUUUUGUUUUUAAUCCCAGAUCCAGUCAAGAUUCCAGCAUUUGAUUGUCUCUUUGUUUUAGUCCGCAGUGGUUUUCUGGUCGUUCCCCCCGCCCCCUUUUUUUAAAAGAAGACAAGGCUGGGUCAAAUUCUAAGUUUCAUACACUCUUUAGCAUUCAAGAUUUAUCAUAUUGAUUCCCUCAUGAUUAAAUUCAGCUUUAACAUUAUUUGCAAGAAUUGCUUUAUAGAUGACAUGUUCUUUACUCAUCAUACCAGGUGUUCCACAGAGUCAGGUUGUGCUACUCUUGUAUCUAUAGCCAAGUUUAAUACUUCCUCAAGUUGAUGACUGUUUGAUUGCUUCAUUAUAUACCUAUAUUUUUUGACCUACCCCCUAGCCUGGGAACCUCCAUAUGCUGCGGGAGGGGCCCAAGAAAUGGCAAAAAGACAAAAAAAAAAAAAGAAAAAAAUGUAUGUAGUUCAGUAUGUUAAGUACAUUCACAUUGUCAUAUAACCAAUCUCCAGAAUUUUCAUCUGGCAAAACUGAAACUCUAUUGAUAAACACUCAUUAAGCAACAACUCUCAAUUCCCUUCUCCUCCAUUCUACUUCAUGUUUUUUUUUUUUUUUUAGGGCCACACCUGUGGCACAUGGAAGUUCCCUGGGUUAGGGGUCGGGUAGGAGCUGUAGCCACGGGCCUAAACCACAGCCAUAGCAGCACAGGAUCCGAGCCAUGUCUGCAACCUCCACCACAGCUCACAGCAACACUGGAUCCUUAACCUACUGAGCAAGGCCGGGGAUGGAACCUCUGUCCUCAUGGAUGUUAGUUGGGUUCAUUACCACCAAGUCAUUUCUUGUCUGUGAAUUCGACUACUCCAUAUACCUCAUAUAAGUGGAAUCCAUACAUUGGUUUUGUGACUGGCUUAUUUCAUUUAACAUAAUUUCCUCAGAGUUCAUCCAUGUUGUAGCAUGUGAUAGAAUCCCCUUCCUUUUUAAAGCUAAUAUCCCAUUAUAUGCAUAUCCUGUGAUUUCUUUAUCCAUUUAUUCACCAGUGAAUGCUUGGGUUCUUCCAUGUACAUACCUUUUAAAAUCUUUUAAAAAUUUUGAUACAAUUUCAAACUUUAAAAAAGCU
This 1211-nucleotide long non-coding RNA is filed under the name Sus scrofa (pig). RNAcentral's name for it is "lncRNA (ENSSSCG00015055001.1)". The record is from RNAcentral. Lineage: Eukaryota; Metazoa; Chordata; Mammalia; Artiodactyla; Suidae.